Molecule: long non-coding RNA, 970 nt
Filed under: Homo sapiens (human)
Lineage: Eukaryota; Metazoa; Chordata; Mammalia; Primates; Hominidae
Description: non-protein coding lnc-SMCO4-1:1
Source: RNAcentral
CGCGGGCGCCGAGAGGAGAGGCGAGGCGGGGAGCGCAAGCGGCGGCGGCCACUGCCACGUAUUCCCGGCAGUGGUGGCGGCGGCGGCGGCGGCGCCCGCGGGCAGGAAUAACUCAAGUCACCUGUACUGGAAAUCAGUUUGCUGAAAUUAAUCAACGAUUCUUGAAGUUGAAGAAAAGGAGGUUCCAGCCUUGGCAAGAGGAGUGUGGCCCUUCCUGGAAUCCCUCUGGACACACCCUCCUAGCAUCCUCUAGGAAAGAUGCGGCAGCUCAAAGGGAAGCCCAAGAAGGAGACCUCCAAGGACAAGAAGGAGCGGAAGCAAGCCAUGCAGGAGGCCCGGCAGCAGAUCACUACAGUGGUGCUGCCCACGCUGGCCGUGGUCGUGCUCUUGAUCGUGGUGUUUGUGUACGUGGCCACGCGCCCCACCAUCACCGAGUGAGCCCCGCAGCCGGCUGCGGACCCCAUCGGCAGGGAGAGGAGGCGCGGGAGGGGGACGCAAACAAAAAAUGGCUUUCAUAUUCAGAGAUGUUCAUGUUGCUGAGCUGUAAGCAGGAGCACCCUGUCUUCUCUGGUCUUUGACUUGAUUAAAGUAUCUCCGCUUUCUUGGGAGGGAAUAGGGGAUGUUUUAUCAGUGAAUGUGCCAUACACCUUAUGGUCCACUUCAUGUGCCUUUCAGACUUCAAAGCGCGCGCGCAUGUGUGUGUGUGUGUGUGUGUGUGUGUGUGUGUGCUUCUUUUUCUCUCCUAAAAAUCGAUAAGUAGCUCCACCUGAAGAGGGAUGGAACCUCUGGGUCAGGAAACAGCUGGAAUCCACACUCACCUCAUUCCCAUUGUUUGGAUCAUGCUUCUUUCCAACACGUGUUCACAAUCUCCAAAGGGACUGUAUUUCUUCUCUGUGCUUAAUGUGAUUUGAAAUAUGUUGAAUCAAAGUGAAAUAUUUAUUUUUUGAAUAAAGGAGAUAAUAGCCUUAAA